UACGGAGGGGGCUAGCGUUGUUCGGAAUUACUGGGCGUAAAGCGUGCGCAGGCGGUGCUGUAAGACCGAUGUGAAAUCCCCGGGCUUAACCUGGGAACUGCAUUGGUGACUGCAGCGCUGGAGUAUGGCAGAGGGGGGUGGAAUUCCACGUGUAGCAGUGAAAUGCGUAGAGAUGUGGAGGAACACCGAUGGCGAAGGCAGCCCCCUGGGCCAAUACUGACGCUCAUGCACGAAAGCGUGGGGAGCAAACAGG
RNAcentral lists this ribosomal RNA (253 nucleotides) under uncultured bacterium. RNAcentral's name for it is "partial 16S ribosomal RNA". It matches the Rfam family "Bacterial small subunit ribosomal RNA", at positions 524 to 776 of the family's 1533-position model. The record is from RNAcentral.